This is a non-coding RNA of Labrus bergylta (ballan wrasse), 181 nucleotides long. The record is from RefSeq and is a predicted model, not a curated record. NCBI's taxonomy places the organism in Eukaryota, Metazoa, Chordata, Actinopteri, Labriformes, Labridae.
UGUCUUCUGAAACCAACUGGACAUCGCUCACAUGGUCAGUGGGUUUGAAUGAAGACCAGUGACGCCUCCGUGUCUCUGACGAGUCCAAAACAACAUGAAGCUUAUAUUUCACAGUUUAGUUCUUCUGCUGUGUUUGUUGUAACUUUUUGUAUAAUGGAAAAUAAAAACUGCUUGUUUCUGC